RNAcentral lists this ribosomal RNA (497 nucleotides) under uncultured bacterium. RNAcentral's name for it is "partial 16S ribosomal RNA". It matches the Rfam family "Bacterial small subunit ribosomal RNA", at positions 28 to 507 of the family's 1533-position model. The record is from RNAcentral.
GAUGAACGCUGGCGGCGUGCCUAAUACAUGCAAGUCGAGCGAACAGACGAGGAGCUUGCUCCUCUGACGUUAGCGGCGGACGGGUGAGUAACACGUGGAUAACCUACCUAUAAGACUGGGAUAACUUCGGGAAACCGGAGCUAAUACCGGAUAAUAUAUUGAACCGCAUGGUUCAAUAGUGAAAGACGGUUUUGCUGUCACUUAUAGAUGGAUCCGCGCCGCAUUAGCUAGUUGGUAAGGUAACGGCUUACCAAGGCAACGAUGCGUAGCCGACCUGAGAGGGUGAUCGGCCACACUGGAACUGAGACACGGUCCAGAGUCCUACGGGAGGCAGCAGUAGGGAAUCUUCCGCAAUGGGCGAAAGCCUGACGGAGCAACGCCGCGUGAGUGAUGAAGGUCUUCGGAUCGGAAAACUCUGUUAUGAGGGAAGAACAAAUGUGUAAGUAACUAUGCACGUCUUGACGGUACCUAAUCAGAAAGCCACGGCUAACUACGUG